GUCAGAAUGCUGUAAUGGUUAGAAGGCUGGACUGCAAAUCUGGAGACCAGGGUUCAAAUCUCAGCUCAGCCG
Molecule: non-coding RNA, 72 nt
Organism: Phrynosoma platyrhinos (Desert horned lizard)
Lineage: Eukaryota; Metazoa; Chordata; Lepidosauria; Squamata; Phrynosomatidae
Source: the annotation of a GenBank genome assembly